UACGUAGGGUGCGAGCGUUAAUCGGAAUUACUGGGCGUAAAGCGUGCGCAGGCGGUUUUGUAAGCCAGAUGUGAAAGCCCCGGGCUUAACCUGGGAAUGGCAUUUGGGACUGCAAGGCUGGAGUUUGGCAGAGGAGACUGGAAUUCCUGGUGGUAGCAGUGAAAUGCGUAGAUAAUCUGGAGGAACACCGGUGGCGAAGGCGGCGAUCCUGGACCAAUAUUGACGCUGAGGAGCGAAAGCCAGGGGAGCAAAACGGGGAUUAGAAACCCCGGUGGUAGUCCAAGAACCGAAUGUAC
Molecule: ribosomal RNA, 296 nt
Filed under: uncultured bacterium
Lineage: Bacteria
Description: partial 16S ribosomal RNA
Rfam family: Bacterial small subunit ribosomal RNA
Source: RNAcentral